UUUAAUAAAACAUUAAAAUGUAUAUAGUUUCGGCCUAUAAAAUGGCAAAAUUGCCUAUUAAUU
RNAcentral lists this transfer RNA (63 nucleotides) under Gynaikothrips ficorum. RNAcentral describes it as "tRNA-Arg". Lineage: Eukaryota; Metazoa; Arthropoda; Insecta; Thysanoptera; Phlaeothripidae. The record is from RNAcentral.